RNAcentral lists this unclassified non-coding RNA (320 nucleotides) under plant metagenome. RNAcentral's name for it is "partial contains 5.8S ribosomal RNA, internal transcribed spacer 2, and large subunit ribosomal RNA". The stretch from base 1 to 105 matches the Rfam family "5.8S ribosomal RNA", at positions 50 to 154 of the family's 154-position model. The record is from RNAcentral.
GAAAUGCGAUAAGUAAUGUGAAUUGCAGAAUUCAGUGAAUCAUCGAAUCUUUGAACGCACAUUGCGCCCGCCAGUAUUCUGGCGGGCAUACCUGUUCGAGCGUCAUUACAACCCUCAGGCCCCCGGGCCUGGCGUUGGGGAUCGGCGGAAGCCCCCUGCGGGCACAACGCCGUCCCCCAAAUACAGUGGCGGUCCCGCCGCAGCUUCCAUUGCGUAGUAGCUAACACCUCGCAACUGGAGAGCGGCGCGGCCACGCCGUAAAACACCCAACUUCUGAAUGUUGACCUCGAAUCAGGUAGGAAUACCCGCUGAACUUGAGC